Molecule: ribosomal RNA, 1984 nt
Filed under: human gut metagenome
Description: bacterial LSU rRNA
Rfam family: Bacterial large subunit ribosomal RNA
Source: RNAcentral
ACCCCGGGAGGGGAGUGAAAGAGAACCUGAAACCCUGUGUUUACAAGCUGUGGAAGUUCUUUAAAUGAACAACCGCGUACUUUUUGUAGAACGGUCCGGCGAGUUGCGGAUACUGGCAAGGUUAAGCACUUAAGGUGCGGAGCCGAAGGGAUACCAAGUCUUAACAGGGCGUUAAGUCAGUAUACGCAGACCCGAAACCGGGUGAUCUAUCCAUGUCCAGGUUGAAGUUGUCGUAAAAGACAAUGGAGGACCGAAGCCACAUCCGUUGAAAAGGGUGGGCAUGAGGUGUGGAUAGGGGAGAAAUUCCAAUCGAACCCGGAGAUAGCUGGUUCUCCUCGAAAUAGCUUUAGGGCUAGCCUCAUGGAUCAUUGGUGGGGGUAGAGCACUGAAUGUGCGCGGGGGCCACAAAGCCUACCAAACGCUAUCAAACUACGAAUACCAUACAAUGCAGACCAUGGGAGUCAGUCCGCGAGAGAUAAGUUCCGCGGGCAAAAGGGGAACACCCCAGAUCAACCGCUAAGGUCCCCAAGUUCACGUUAAGUGGAGAAGGAUGUGGAAUUGCACAGACAACCAGGAUGUUGGCUCAGAAGCAGCCACACAUUUAAAGAGUGCGUAAUAGCUCACUGGUCGAGUGAUUGUGCGCCGAAGAUGUCCGGGGCUAAACGUGACACCGAAGCGAUGGGUGCAUCUGAAAGGAUGCGCGGUAGAGGAGCAAUGUGCAGAGGCAGAAGCCGUAUCGAGAGGCACGGUGGACACUGCACAAGAGAGAAUGCCGGUAUGAGUAGCGAGAGGCAUGCGAGAAACAUGCCCGUCGAAAGCCCAAGGUUUCCUGGGGAAGGUUCAUCCGCCCAGGGUAAGUCGGGGCCUAAGCCGAGGACGGAAGUCGUAGGCGAUGGACAGCAGGUGUAGAUUCCUGCACUACCGAUGGAAUGAAGCAGUGACACAGAAGGAUAACUCGAGCAGGGUGAUGGUCAACCCUGUGCAAGCAUCAAGGUUGGGUUGUAGUGAAGUACGCAAUCCUAUAAGCUGAGGUGUGAUGCGGACCGAAAUUUCAGUAGGGAAGCGAGUGAGUUCACGCUGGCGAGAAAAGCUGCUAGUACAUCCAAAGGUACCCGUACCGGAAACCGACGCAGGUGGGCGAGGAGAGAAUCCUGAGACGAACGGGAGAACCCUUGUUAAGGAACUCGGCAAAAUGACCCCGUAACUUCGGGAUAAGGGGUGCCUGCGAGAGCAGGCCGCAGAGAAUAGUCACAAGCGACUGUUUAGCAAAAACACAGGUAUCUGCGAAAGCGAGAGCUGACGUAUAGGUGCUGACACCUGCCCGGUGCUGGAAGGUUAAGGGAACAUGUUAGAGCAAUCGAAGCAUCGAACCGAAGCCCCAGUAAACGGCGGCCGUAACUAUAACGGUCCUAAGGUAGCGAAAUUCCUUGUCGGGUAAGUUCCGACCCGCACGAAUGGUGUAACGACUUGUGAGCUGUCUCAACAGGGGGCCCGGUGAAAUUGAAGUAUGGGUGAAGAUGCCCAUUACCCGCGACUGGACGGAGAGACCCCGUAGAGCUUUACUGCAGCCUGAUAUUGAGUUUCGGUAACUGAUGCACAGGAUAGGUGGGAGUCUGAGAGACAUGGGUUUCGGCUCAUGUGGAGACGGUGUUGGGAUACCACUCUUCGGUUACUGAAAUUCUAACAUAGCUCUGUGAAACCAGAGGAUGGACAGUGUCAGGUGGACAGUUUGACUGGGGCGGUCGCCUCCGAAAGAGUAACGGAGGCGCCCAAAGGUACCCUCAGAAUGGAUGGAAACCAUUCGAAGAGCGCAAAGGCAGAAGGGUGCCUGACUGCGAGAUUGACAAAUCGAGCAGAGACGAAAGUCGGGCUUAGUGAUCCGGCGGUAUUGAGUGGAAAAGCCGUCGCUUAACGGAUAAAAGCUACCUCGGGGAUAACAGGCUGAUCUCCCCCAAGAGUCCACAUCGACGGGGAGGUUUGGCAC